GCAGGCCGUACAGAAGUGCACCCUGCAGAGCAUUGAAGUCAUCACCACUGCAGUCAGGGCACCCGCUCUCAACCACAGCUGUGUUUUACUGACGCCCAAGAGAAGGAAGUUUCAUAGAAAAUUUAUUCUUAGAGGAAAAGAGGGAAUUGCACCCAGAAAUGACAAAGAUUUGCUGAUCAGACAAAAAAUAAGUAUCUUCGUUAAACUGCUCAUCGUUUGCAUCCUGUUGGUCACUGCGAUAUGCUACAUCGUGAUUGUCAUAUGCGAAAUUCCCUGCUCGUGCUUGUGCUCUGACUGGAUGGCCGGCGGACGGAGCAGCAGCGGAAGCACGUACGCAGCCUCAGAGCCAGUGGGUCACCAAACGGGAACGCUUCUAACCCAGCUACUUGAGGACACGAAAGAGAAAUCGCUGCAAUGUUUUGCCUGACUCUCAGACUCCCUUGCACAGACAGAAGCGUAAUAGCAAGACCCUUAAAUGAAAAGAUCCAAAAUCCUCAUUAUCCGUGAAACCCACCCAAGAAAUGCCGCAGGCCUUACUGGAACACCCUGUUUACUCAGACACCUCACCUUUCUCCUCACCACCUACUGGAAGCAGCAGACUGAACACCAGCAGCUUAAACCACCACAACCCAACCGCUGCAGACUGAAGCCAGACUUAACAUCAGAGGAAACAUUUACCUGGUUAGGGGCAGUCACAUCAAUUCACUGGGAAAAGAGCUGCUGCGAAGACACCCGUAUGCUGAGUCCUUCCAUUAACUACCCGGAUUCCUAUUUUAAUUCCCAGAUACUGGAAAAACCUGUUGGCAUAAGCAAUAAAAAUUUCACUGACGUUCCAAA
Long non-coding RNA from Cygnus atratus (black swan), 837 nucleotides. RefSeq lists it as uncharacterized. The record is from RefSeq and is a predicted model, not a curated record. Lineage: Eukaryota; Metazoa; Chordata; Aves; Anseriformes; Anatidae. The transcript has 4 exons.